This 351-nucleotide ribosomal RNA is filed under the name uncultured Clostridium sp. Its description in RNAcentral is "bacterial SSU rRNA". It matches the Rfam family "Bacterial small subunit ribosomal RNA", at positions 355 to 721 of the family's 1533-position model. Lineage: Bacteria; Bacillati; Bacillota; Clostridia; Eubacteriales; Clostridiaceae. The record is from RNAcentral.
UGGGGAAUAUUGCACAAUGGGCGCAAGCCUGAUGCAGCAACGCCGCGUGAAGGAAGAAGGUUUUCGGAUUGUAAACUUCUAUCAACGGGGACGAAAAAAUGACGGUACCUGAAUAAGAAGCCCCGGCUAACUACGUGCCAGCAGCCGCGGUAAUACGUAGGGGGCAAGCGCUAUCCGGAAUUACUGGGUGUAAAGGGUGAGUAGGCGGCAUGGUAAGCCAGAUGUGAAAGCCCGCAGCUUAACUGCGGGACUGCAUUUGGAACUACUAAGCUAGAGUGCAGGAGAGGAAAGCGGAAUUCCUAGUGUAGCGGUGAAAUGCGUAGAUAUUAGGAAGAACACCGGUGGCGAAGG